Molecule: ribosomal RNA, 3708 nt
Filed under: Triticum aestivum (bread wheat)
Lineage: Eukaryota; Viridiplantae; Streptophyta; Magnoliopsida; Poales; Poaceae
Description: partial small subunit ribosomal RNA
Source: RNAcentral
AUGCUCCGUUUCCCAUCUAACAAGAGCUCGUCUAACUUCUCUUGGCCCCUGGCUGACGCUUUUAAUGCAUUCAUUAGGGACACGGCUAUUCGUGAGAUUCCUAGGGUUGGCGCCCGUUUCACUUGGUCCAACCACCAAACUCCCCCAAUUCGUUCGAUUCUUGAUAGGGUUUUUGUUUGCUCUAGGUGGGAUUCCUUAUUCCCCCGUGCCAGUCUUAGAGCCCUGGCUUGUGUUGGUUCUGAUCACACCCCCUUGAUUCUUGAUGAUGGUUUGCGCCUAGCGGGCUUUCCGACAUUCCAGUUUGAUGCUUCAUGGCUCCAAGUGGAGGGGUUUAAUGAGUUGGUGGCACAAAAGAUUCUGUCUUUCCUCUCCUCUACUCGACGUUCUUUUAGCCCUAUGGAUGACUGGCAUCAAUGCUCCUAUUUUUUGCGUAGAUUUCUUAGAGGCUGGUCUAAAAACCACUACGCUGAGUCUAGGCGGGACAAAGCUAGGCUGCUGGCUCAAAUUGGCGUUUUAGAUGAUCGCGCCGAUAGUACUGGGCUGUCCUCGUCUGAAUGGCAAACCCGAUAUGGUUUAGAACAGGCGCUACUGGGCAUCCAUAGGCAAGAGGAAGUAUACUGGAAACAACGAGGUACUAUCAACUGGACCUUAAAGGGUGACUCUCCUACGUCUUAUUUUUUUGCGAUUGCUAACGGCAGGCGCCGGAGAUGCAUUAUUGAUAGCCUUUUGAUAGACGGCGUCAGGGUCUCUGACCCAUCGGUGAUCAUGCGGCAUGUGGUUGAUUUCUUCUCUAACCUCCUAGCUGAUAAGCCCGUGCUAGGCUUUAAGUUGGCCUCGACCUUUUGGUCUCCUCUGGACCAGCUGUCGGGUGCUGAUAAUGAGAGUUUACUGAUCCCUUCCACGGAAGAGGAAAUAUUCGAGAUGAUCCAGACUGGCAACCCGAAUGCGACUUCUGGGCCUGAUGGCUUUUCCAUCCCUUUUUUUCGGCAAUUCUGGCCUCAGCUAAAGGGAUUAAUUAUGGCUAUUUCUCAAGGCUUUUGGUUGGGGACUGUUGACAUCUCCAGACUUAACUACGCUGUUCUCACCCUCAUUCCUAAAGUCAAAGGCGCUGACUUGAUAUCCCAAUUUAGACCCAUUGCUUUGAUUAACAAUUUUGCUAAGUUUCCUGCCAAGGGUAUGGCUACUAGGAUUUCUCCGAUCGCCCAUCGGGUUAUUAGCCCCUUCCAAUCCGCGUUCAUUAAGGGGAGAUUCAUUCUGGACGGGGUGCUUUGCCUUCACGAGAUAAUUCAUGACCUUCACUCAAAGCACUCUAAGGUUGUAGUUCUUAAACUUGAUUUUGAAAAAGUGUAUGACUCAGUCAGCUGGAGUUUUCUUCGCCAAGUUCUGUUGGCCAGGGGCUUCGAUGGUGCGGUGGUACACCGCCUGAUGCAACUUAUCUCUGGUGGGCACACGGCGGUGGCUGUCAAUGGCCAGACCAAUAACUUCUUUGCCAACGGUAGGGGCCUAAGGCAAGGAGAUCCAGCGUCUCCCCUGCUUUUCAAUUUUGUGGCUAAUGCCUUAUCUCAUAUUCUGUCUAGGGCUGCGGCUGCUGGUAACAUCUCGCCGGUUAGCUCCCAUCUUAUUCCUAAUGGCAUCUCCCACCUCCAGUACGUGGACGACACCAUCACGAAUAUGAAAUUUCUUCUUCUUUGCUUUAAAGCCUUGUCGGGCCUUAAAAUCAACUUUUCUAACAGUGAGGUCAUUGUGACUGGGGUAUCUGUCUCGGAAGCGCAGAGGGUCGCACAUCUCUUGAACUGCUCGCUAGGGUCCUUUCCUCUCAAAUACUUGGGCCUACCCAUCUCCCGGCUUAAGAUUUUGGCCAAAGAGUUUGCACCGGCUGUUACUAAAGUUGGCAAUAGAGUUUUUCCGUGGCGAGGGCGCUAUAAUUCUCAGGCGGGCAAGGUCGCCCUUACCAACUCCUGCCUUUCCUCUCUCCCGAUGUUUCUAAUGGGCUUCUAUCUUCUAUCAGAUGGGACUCCCACUGGUUUCGAUAAGCACAGGGGUGCCUUUUACUGGAAUUCCUCCGAUAACAAACGCAAAUAUAGGAUGGUUAAAUGGGACCUCAUUUGUAGACCUAAGAACAUGGGGGGCCUUGGCAUCAUUAACACCAGAAUCAUGAAUAAGUGUCUCCUGUUAAAGUGGUGGUGGAAGAUUAUGUCCCUUGAUGAUCGUCCUGCUUGGCUAAACCUUCUCAAAGAUAAAUAUUUUCCCUUCUCGAGUCCUAUGUUCGCUUUCUCUUCUGGUGGCUCUCAAUUUUGGCGCCAGCUUGUUAGUAUUAGACCGAUAUUUCAGUCCCUGGUGAAAUUCGUAGUCCGUAACGGCAAUUCUACGCGUUUUUGGUUAGACUGGUGGGUUGGAGACACCACCCUUGCGGUGGCUUAUCCGACUCUGUUUUCGUUUUGUGAUAACCCUGAGAUCUCUAUCUCUGAGCUCUCGGCCCAGGGGUGGGUUUUAGAUUUCCAGCGCUCUCUUUCCCCUGUGGAGUUGGAAGAAUGGCAACGCCUUACUGCCUGCUUCCCCCUGCUCUCGGAGGAAGAGGACUCCGUUUUUUGGCCUCACACCCCUUCGGGGCGUUUUUCUGUUAAGUCGGCCUAUUCGCGUCUAAUCGCUGGUGUUCGCUCUGACAAGUUUAAACCAGUUUGGUCUGCCCGCAUACCUCCUAAGAUCAAAAUCUUCCUUUGGCAAGCUCUUCAUCGCAAACUCCCUGCGGGUGACCAGAUUAAAAAGAGGAAUGGGCCGGGUUCUGACAGUUGUCAACUGUGUGGCGCCCUAGAGAAUACAAAGCAUAUAUUUUUCCAGUGCUCAUUAGCUAAAUUCAUCUGGAGUUGCAUUAGACUUUGGCUCCAUGUUCCCUGGAACCCUGCCUCUUUUAAGGAUCUUCGGCGAUGUAUCAAUACUCUAGCAGGCCGGUCUAAACGGGUUUUCAUGGUGGGCUGGGCAGCGGUCUAUUGGGCGCUUUGGACUACUAGAAACAAGUUCACUAUUGAACACAUUUUCCCGGCUAACCCUUCAACCCAAACAGCCACACGACCCACAAUCCAAUCCCACCUCUUGCGCGCCGCGCACUCCUGCCCCGCCCCGCCGCCGGUUCCCGCCUCGCCGCCGGUAUCUGCCCCGCUGCCGCGCGCCGCCAACCCCGCCCCUACCCCUACCCCUACCCCAAGUCCCCCCACCCUCACAGCCUUCCACCGCCAGCGACACUCGACGCUGCGGCCAUUGCCGGCUCCCCCAACCCCUGCUACCACGGCGCCGUUGGGAAUCCUCCCCGCCACCUGUUGGAACCGCCCGCCUGGCUCCCGCUGCGAACAUCACCGCCACCUCUCUGUCGAUUCCCACCCCAGCGGAUGGUCCCCUCACCUGCGCUCGCAUCCUCAGACUUUGACCAAAAACAAGCCGGGAUCCGAUAGUGCCCCACAGUUCGCCGGAGUUUCAUCGGCCGGUUCUACGCUUCAGGUAUGUGGACAAGGAGGCUUGAAAUCAUGGUCUUUGUUCUCUGGCAACCUGCAGUUCGUUGGUGACAAAUUGAUUUUUGUUGCAAUGGUUGCUAAAUCCUACGAGGGCCUACAGGUGUUUGAGGCAGGAAGGGUGAUUAGAAUCGAUGAGGAGCAGCAAGAAGCAGCAACCAUUGCCGGCCUAGCUGCUUAUAGGGACAACCAGACGGUGUAUUAG